AUGAUACUUCUGUGCAGCCUCAGCUUCACGCAAAGGGCGCAGCCACCGGAGAACCCGGCGGGGGUGAAAUUCCCAUGA
Molecule: non-coding RNA, 78 nt
Filed under: Anaerosporobacter mobilis
Lineage: Bacteria; Bacillati; Bacillota; Clostridia; Lachnospirales; Lachnospiraceae
Description: pemK RNA
Rfam family: pemK RNA
Source: RNAcentral